AAGGAAAGCAGGCUGUUGCAUUUCAGUUGGAAAAGCCCGCGUGCCCGUAAGUCAGUUCCAGAGCCUUCACUCCAAAUGACCUCCUGGAACUGGCCCGAGUGUUCGAGUUGCUCCAUACCUUGAGGAACCGAACAUCCAACACCUGGGCCCUUUGGCUCUCCGGAACCGCAGCAGAGCAAACAGGAGCUUCUAUUCUCUCUUCCAUCUCCGCUUCUCCUUGUGUAACUUGCCGUGUUCUACAGGACAAAGCGAUCUCCUUGACGAGCGCCUGCCUGGCUGAGUGUUUUCAAAGCAGUUCGGGGAAUUCUUUCAAAAGCGCGCUCCCUCCUUCUCCAUUUGCAAUUCAUCAGCGCGCAGCCCCUGAAACGAGGCUAAUUAACCCAUCUCCCUGUCGCACCUGAGCCCACACAGAGCCGCGGUCCUGCCCGCGAAGGAGGGGGCCGACGAGGAGCUCGGCACGACGCCUCUGUGGGGGAGCUGUUCGCUCGGGUGCGCUCUUUUCUUCCAGGUCUCUGGCUCAUCGGGACGCAGAUGAAGGAUCUCACGGAAGGGAACGUCUCAAUCUUGCGCUGACCCUGGGCCUGCAUGACGAAGGAGAUCUGGGCAGUCACGCAGGACAGGACAGUGCGCAGGUCGCCACCCCAGCUGGGAACUGCGAUGGACGCCGAGCCCGAGGAGAAACAGACACAAUCCUGACUAAAAACGGCACACGUUCUGCCAAGAUACUGCUGUCCUCAGCUGAAGUCCAAGGACACAGGGAAUAGAAUUGUGGUUCUAUUUUCAGCAGAACUCCUGGAAUGAAUCGUAAUAUACAGGCUAACAACAACACCCCCGUCUCCCCCAGACAAAGACGG
This 854-nucleotide long non-coding RNA is filed under the name Lepisosteus oculatus (spotted gar). RNAcentral describes it as "lncRNA (ENSLOCG00000023165.1)". The record is from RNAcentral. Lineage: Eukaryota; Metazoa; Chordata; Actinopteri; Semionotiformes; Lepisosteidae.